This 2046-nucleotide ribosomal RNA is filed under the name human gut metagenome. Its description in RNAcentral is "bacterial LSU rRNA". It matches the Rfam family "Bacterial large subunit ribosomal RNA", at positions 436 to 2494 of the family's 2925-position model. The record is from RNAcentral.
GCGUGAAUCUGCCGGGACCAUCCGGUAAGGCUAAAUACUCCCGAGAGACCGAUAGCGAACCAGUACCGUGAGGGAAAGGUGAAAAGCACUUCGAACAGAAGAGUGAAAUAGUUCCUGAAACCGUGCGCCUACAAGCGGUCGGAGCUCGUUAAUGAGUGACGGCGUGCCUUUUGCAUAAUGAACCUACGAGUUGCCUUUGCCGGCAAGGUUAAGUGUGACGACACACGUAUCCGAAGCGAAAGCGAGUCUGAACAGGGCGUAUAGUCGGCAGUGGCAGACGCGAAACCAAGUGAUCUACCCUUGGCCAGGUUGAAGGCUGGGUAACACCAGCUGGAGGACCGCACCAAUAAGCGUUGAAAAGCUUCUGGAUGAGCUGAGGGUAGGGGUGAAAGGCUAAUCAAACUUGGAGAUAGCUCGUACUCCCCGAAAUGCAUUUAGGUGCAGCCUUGACUUAUACUGGCAUGAGGUAGAGCGACUGAUAAGAUGCGAGGGCUUCACCGCCUAUCAAGUCUUGACAAACUCCGAAUGCGCAUCAGUUCUACCGCAGGAGUGAGGGCAUGGGUGCUAAGGUCCGUGCCCGAGAGGAGAAGAAUCCGGACCACCUGCUAAGGUCCCGAAAUGACAGCUAAGUUAAACUAACGAAGUCUGACUGCUAAGACAGCUAGGAUGUUGGCUUGGAAGCAGCCAUUCAUUUAAAGAGUGCGUAACAGCUCACUAGUCGAGGAGUCGGGCGUGGAUAAUAAUCGGGUAUCAAGUUGUCUACCGAAGCAGUGGGAUCAUUUAUAUGAUCGGUAGGGGAGCAUUCCAGUCAGCGUCGAAGGCGUACCGUGAGGUAUUCUGGAGCGUCUGGAAAAGCAAAUGUAGGUAUAAGUAACGAUAAAGGGGGCGGGAAACCCCCUCGCCGAAAGACUAAGGUUUCCUGAUCAACGCUAAUCGGAUCAGGGUCAGUCGGGUCCUAAGGCUCAGCCGAACGGCGAUGCCGAUGGCAGAAACGGUUAAUAUUCCGUUACUACCUUCAGGAGUGACGUGGAGACGCAGUAGUGACAGUGCCGCCAUCUGACGGAAUAGAUGGUUGAAGGGUGUAGGAGUCGAUCAUGGCAGGCAAAUCCACCAUGAGAUCCGAACCUGAUAGUAUGCCGCGUCCUUCGGGACAAGGCAAUAGUGCGCGUAAGCAUGCUGCCGAGAAAAUCCGCUAAACUUAAUCCUGCAGGUACCCGUACCGCAAACGGACACACGUAGUCGGGUUGAAUAUACUAAGGCGCUUGAGUGAUUCACGGUUAAGGAACUAGGCAAACUGACCCUGUAACUUCGGGAUAAAGGGUCCUCGCUUUACGGCGAGGCGCAGAGAAUAGGUCCAGGCAACUGUUUAACAAAAACACAGGGCUGUGCCAAAUCGAAAGAUUACGUAUACAGCCUGACACCUGCCCGGUGCUGGAAGGUUAAGAGGAGAUGUCAUCGCAAGAGAAGCAUUGAAUUGAAGCCCCAGUAAACGGCGGCCGUAACUAUAACGGUCCUAAGGUAGCGAAAUUCCUUGUCGGGUAAGUUCCGACCUGCACGAAUGGUGUAAUGAUCUGGACGCUGUCUCAACCGUGAGCUCAGUGAAAUUGUAGUAUCGGUGAAGAUGCCGAUUACCCGCGAUGGGACGAAAAGACCCCGUGAACCUUUACUAUAGCUUAUCAUUGAAUCUGGGCACGUGAUGUGUAGGAUAGGUCGGAGGCUUUGAAGCAGGUACGCCAGUAUUUGUGGAGCCGCUGUUGAAAUACGACCCUUUAUUUGUUUGGAUUCUAACCCGUGGAACGGGGACAUUGAUUGGUGGGUAGUUUGACUGGGGUGGUCGCCUCCAAAAGCGUAACGGAGGCUUCUAAAGGUGCCCUCCGGCCGAUUGGUAACCGGCCUUAGAGUGUAAUGGCAUAAGGGCGCUUGACUGGGAGACUAACAAGUCGAUCAGGUAGGAAACUAGAGCAUAGUGAUCCGGUGUUUCCGUAUGGAAGGGACAUCGCUCAAAGGAUAAAAGGUACUCCGGGGAUAACAGGCUGAUCCCUCCCA